AAAUGACACUCAGUUCCAACUCAUUUAACAACUGUUCAACCAGCUGGGGAAAUGUAAUCUGGGGAGCACUAUUUUAAAACUGAUCUGCUUAAGCCUGUCUCACUUAUGAGCUGAGUUAAACAGUUCCUUUGUUGAUUGACUCAAAAACCAUGAAGAUCCCCACCAUAAAAAAAGUUGGGAAAGAAAAUGGAUCAAGAACCUUCGUCUCUUCAUCUCUUGCCUCUUAAGUUUACUCAGUUCUUUGAAUUACUCUGAAAAAGAAAUCAUCCAAGCAUAAACAUUUGUGCUACAAUCUCCAUAAAGAAAGCAGGCUAUUGGAACCCAUUUGGAAUUUCUUUAUCAUCCCUCAGCACAUCCUUGAGAUCCCUGUUGUUCAACUGUUCAAUAAAUUCAACAUCUCCAAGAGCCCUGGUACACAGUGGUUAGAAUACAGUAUUGCAGGCAAACUCUGCCCAGACUAGAGUUCGAUCCUCAUGAGGUUCAAGAGUCACUCAGCCUUCCAUCUUUCUAAGAAUAUUUCUCAUAUUAUUAUGAAGGAUGUUCUGGGGACUCCUCUCCAAGAUGGCUACUGAAUGGUAAGGGAUUUUUUGUCUCUUGUCUCUUCUGAUUUUGUUGCCAAAGCUGGUUCUGUGGCAGUGCUGCUCCCUGGAUUUGAAUGGGAGCAUUUAGGAAUGACCCAAGAUGCCUUUUGGACAGUCGUGGAUCCACCUGAGAAGGGGAGUCUUGAAGAUUCCAGUUCCUUUUGGGAGCAGUGGGAAAGUCACUGAUCAUCCAUCUUCCUUUCAACAGUUAUUUUUUUAAGCAUGCCUGGGUUUUAACUUUAGCUUUUGAAUUUUCUGGUUUAUUCUGCUUUUUAUCUUUAAAAGUUGACCAGUUGGUUGAAUGCUGAUUUAUUUUAACCCCUUGCUGGACUCUAACUGUUCUCCUUUUUCUUUUUCCUUUUAAUUUAUCUUGUCAUUUGAAUAACUUUUGCUUUCCUGUAAGGAAACAUGGCAUGCUCUUGGAUGGUGAAUUUUUCCAUUUUUAAAUUUGCAAAAUAUUUGGAGGGUUUUUUUUUAUUAUUAUUUUUCUUUUAAUCUUGGAUCAAAAUAUCCAGAAAAUAUCUUCCUGCUCCUUUUUGCUUCAGCAUUCUUUGUUUCCUGGCUAUGUUACACAGAGCAACAAUGUAUCAGAUUAUAGACAACCAAGGAUGGCUGAGAUCUGGUAAAAAACCUUUUGGUAACAUGCAUUUUUUUAGUCGAAAGCUUUUUUAAAAAAUUUGAUGAAAUAAUGGCUGUGGAAAAUAUUCAGAUGCAUGUAGAUCUUUAUAAAUUAGUUUCACAAAAGGAAUGUGAUUUGAAAGCUGCAGAUCCUAGUCAGCUGGAAGAAAUUACCGCCCAAAAAGUACCCCUCAGACCGGAAACUUACCUAUUAGGUAUACUGACAAAGGACUAUAAAAAAGAGACACAAUACUUGAUAAUACACAUCCUAACUGCAGCUAGAAUCGUCUUCGCACAAAUGUGGAAAUUGGAAAACACGCCACCAGAAGAAAAAAUAAUACAAAAAAUUAUGGAAUGUGCAGAAAUGGACAAAUUGACCAAAGAAAUACAAGGAAAAGAAGAUACAGACUUUUACUUAAUUUGGCAAGAAUGGUACAAAUGGUUAGACAAAAAAGACACGAAAUAAGAGAUUACCACCCAAUGAUACAAAAAUAAGGAAAUAAAAGGAAAUAUCGUUAUAUAAACAUUGAUACAAGAUGAAAGAUAAUAUAUAUAGAUAUAUUGAUAUAUAAUUACCGAAAUAGCUUUAUUUUCAAAGUUCAAGUUAUGUGACUUGAUUUCAUUGUAUAGUUAGUAUAUGUCUAGUUUGUUUUAACG
This is a long non-coding RNA of Pantherophis guttatus, 1856 nucleotides long. RefSeq lists it as uncharacterized. NCBI's taxonomy places the organism in Eukaryota, Metazoa, Chordata, Lepidosauria, Squamata, Colubridae. The record is from RefSeq and is a predicted model, not a curated record.